This 468-nucleotide ribosomal RNA is filed under the name uncultured bacterium. RNAcentral describes it as "partial 16S ribosomal RNA". It matches the Rfam family "Bacterial small subunit ribosomal RNA", at positions 28 to 507 of the family's 1533-position model. The record is from RNAcentral.
GACGAACGCUGGCGGCGUGCCUAACACAUGCAAGUCGAACGGAACGGCCCUGCCUUUUUGGGGUGCUCGAGUGGCGAACGGGUGAGUAACACGUGAGUAACCUGCCCCUCACUUUGGGAUAACUUCAGGAAGGUGGGGCUAAUCCCGCAUAGGAGCUCUCGCUGCAUGGUGGGGGUUGGAAAGUUUCGGCGGUUGGGGAUGGAAUGGCGGCUUAUCAGCUUGUUGGUGGGGUAGUGGCUUACCAAGGCUUGGACGGGUAGCCGGCCUGCGCGGGGAACAUGAUCCAUCAGGACGGGAAUGCGACACGGACUACAACGGGACGGGGCAGAGGGGUGGAUAGUACUGGAGACGGGGGGAAGGUCUAGCCAAGCCACGUGGGGGAAGACAUGAAGGGGGUAGGAAUGCGCAGUUGCUUUUGCCGGGGCGUGAAUGACGGUACUGGGUGAAGAAGCACCGGCUAACUACGUG